Molecule: ribosomal RNA, 385 nt
Filed under: uncultured bacterium
Lineage: Bacteria
Description: bacterial SSU rRNA
Rfam family: Bacterial small subunit ribosomal RNA
Source: RNAcentral
GAUGAACGCUAGCGGCAGGCUUAACACAUGCAAGUCGAGGGGUAAGGUAGCAAUAUCUGAGACCGGCGCACGGGUGCGUAACGCGUAUGCAAUCUACCUUUACAGAGGGAUAGCCCAGAGAAAUUUGGAUUAAUACCUCAUAGCAUUGCGAAAUGGCAUCAUUUGCAAUUAAAGUUCCAACGGUAAAAGAUGAGCAUGCGUCCUAUUAGCUAGAUGGUAAGGUAACGGCUUACCAUGGCUACGAUAGGUAGGGUCCUGAGAGGGAGAUCCCCCACACUGGUACUGAGACACGGACCAGACUCCUACGGGAGGCAGCAGUGAGGAAUAUUGGACAAUGGGCGCAAGCCUGAUCCAGCCAUGCCGCGUGCAGGAAGAAGCAUCUAUG